This 253-nucleotide ribosomal RNA is filed under the name uncultured bacterium. RNAcentral's name for it is "partial 16S ribosomal RNA". It matches the Rfam family "Bacterial small subunit ribosomal RNA", at positions 524 to 776 of the family's 1533-position model. The record is from RNAcentral.
UACGGAGGGUGCAAGCGUUAUUCGGAAUUAUUGGGCGUAAAGGGCGUGUAGGCGGCCAGAUAAGUCAGAGGUGAAAGCCCGGUGCUCAACCCCGGAAGUGCCUUUGAAACUAUCUGGCUUUAGUGCGGGAGAGGAAAGCGGAAUUCCCAGUGUAGAGGUGAAAUUCGUAGAUAUUGGGAGGAACACCGGUGGCGAAGGCGGCUUUCUGGACCGACACUGACGAUGAGGCGCGAAAGCGUGGGGAGCAAACAGG